AACGAACGCUGGCGGCAUGCCUAACACAUGCAAGUCGAACGAAGCCUUCGGGCUUAGUGGCGCACGGGUGCGUAACGCGUAGAUAAUCUACCUUUCAGCGGGGGAUAACUAGGGGAAACUCUAGCUAAUACCGCAUAAGACCACGGGGUCCCCGGACCCUGAGGGAAAAGACGGCCCCUGCAUAUGCUGUCACUGAAAGAUGAGUCUGCGUCCCAUCAGCUAGUUGGUGAGGUAAUGGCUCACCAAGGCUAAGGCGGGUAGCUGGUCUGAGAGGAUGAUCAGCCACACUGGCACUGGAACACGGGCCAGACUCCUACGGGAGGCAGCAGUGGGGAAUAUUGGGCAAUGGGCGGAAGCCUGACCCAGCCACGCCGCGUGAGUGAUGAAGGCCUUCGGGUUGUAAAGCUCUGUGGGAAGGGGAGAAAAACUGCGACCUAAUACGUCGCAGGUUGACGGUACCUUCUUAGCAAGCACCGGCUAACUCUGUGCCAGCCGCCGCGGUAA
This 504-nucleotide ribosomal RNA is filed under the name uncultured bacterium. Its description in RNAcentral is "partial 16S ribosomal RNA". It matches the Rfam family "Bacterial small subunit ribosomal RNA", at positions 29 to 523 of the family's 1533-position model. The record is from RNAcentral.